Molecule: long non-coding RNA, 919 nt
Filed under: Medicago truncatula (barrel medic)
Lineage: Eukaryota; Viridiplantae; Streptophyta; Magnoliopsida; Fabales; Fabaceae
Description: lncRNA gene49025
Source: RNAcentral
UAUCUGCUAAUAUUGCCUUUUCAUUUAUGGUUAACCUUAUUGUCAUAUCUAUCCAUCUAAUACAUAUACAUCAACUAAUUAUAAACCAUUACCUUCGGUUUAUAUUUGUUGUGGUCCCUAUAUUUUUUAUUUAUUUUUCAAGUGUUCAUUUUAUCCAUCAAUUAAUUGAUUUCAUUAAUGUUUAAUUUUUCUUUUUUGAUCAAAAAGGGUUGAGAUCCUCCGCAGAAACGCAAGAAUUUGUUCAGAAAAUGUCUUAAUCUUAAUAUUAGACUUUUUAAAGCCCUGUUUUUGAAUUACCAAGUCAUCUAUUUCUUGUGAGACCUGAAAAUGUUGACCAUGCGAUGGAGAUUUCAUUGCAACUGUGUUACUUUCUCACGUCUGAUGAGUGAUGAGGGCUUUGGGGUAUUAGUGGCUGAUCUUGAGGAGUAGCUCUAGGGGCACAACAGUUUUGGUUCGUUUUGGGAGGUCAUAUGAGCCUAUUCAGGUUGAGCACAAAAUUCAAGCUCCUUAAGUUGGGCUCGCCAUCUCUCUAAUAUUGAACAGGCUGAAAGCUUUCUUCAGGAAUUUAUAAUUUGGGUGUAAGAAGGUAUAAAUUGUAAAUAUUCAUACUUUUAUGAAAAUUAUUAGAAGUUAGAGGAUUAGGCUGUGGUGUAUGAGAAACAACAAAUAUAUAAGGUAGUUGGUAUCAUUAUAUUCAAGGUUUUAUGUAGACUUUGUGAUGCAUUGUAUGUUUUGUUUAUCCAUUUCGUUUGCAAUGGAUGGUGUUAUGUAUAAUAAGUUAUCUAUAUAAAUCUGUCAAAAACACUGGGUUUAUCGAAAGUGCACUUUCAGUAGUGUAUUUUGACAAAAAAAUUGAUUUUGAUUCAAAACAAAUAUGAAUUAAAUUUCUUAUUGUUUGAUUAAUUUUUUAUUUGACUAU